This 275-nucleotide ribosomal RNA is filed under the name uncultured bacterium. Its description in RNAcentral is "partial 16S ribosomal RNA". It matches the Rfam family "Bacterial small subunit ribosomal RNA", at positions 338 to 606 of the family's 1533-position model. The record is from RNAcentral.
CCUACGGGGGGCAGCAGUGGGGAAUCUUGCGCAAUGGGCGAAAGCCUGACGCAGCGACGCCGCGUGAGUGAUGAAGGCCUUCGGGUUGUAAAGCUCUGUGGGGAGAGACGAAUAAGUGGGGUCGAACAGGCUCCAUGAUGACGGUAUCUCCUUAGCAAGCACCGGCUAACUCUGUGCCAGCAGCCGCGGUAAUACAGAGGGUGCAAACGUUGUUCGGAAUUACUGGGCGUAAAGCGUGUGUAGGCGGCCUCGUAGGUCGGAUGUGAAAGCUCUCG